UAUUAUAAUAUAUUAUAAUUAUUUUUAUAAUUGAUUUUGACUUAGUGUUCCAAAGUGUAGUAUUAAAGCGGAGUGAGAACCCAUAAGUAAAAGGAGUCUUAUGUGUUCUGUGGUACUUUUUUUAAAUUUUUUUCAUCAAUUUUUUAAGCUGAGACGAAAAAUCAUAAACAUACAUUCCAUGCGCAAAAUUUUCACAGAAGGCCAAAUUCGAAAAUUGAUGGCUGCUGUUUCCAUGCUUCGGGACCUAGGGCGUAUAACACCCUGUACAAACCACUACCUCAUGUGUCGACAUUACAGCGUUUGUGUCGAAGAGUCGACUUUAUGCGACGAGCUGCUGAUCUGACCAUUGAUGAAAAGCUCUGUGUGCUGUCGACGAAAGGCAGUGGAGACUUUUGAGUACAACUCGAUGUCUGGCGUAGUCCGAAAACUCGCAAAACUAUGUGCAGAGGCAGAGCAACAUUUAAGGAUUUCCCGGUGUAAUUGGCGCAAUAGACUGUACCCAUGUACGUAUUAAAAAGCCAAAGCCAGAAGUAGAAAGCUGCUAUUUAAACAGAAAAGGUUAUCAUUCAAAAAAUGUACAGCUGGUUUGGGGGGCUGCACACGAUUCCAAUAUUUGGGAAGCCUCCAGAAUAAAUGUAUUAUUGCAAGAAAGAAAUGAAGCUGACAAGAAUAAUCAUUCUUGGCUAUUAGGGGAUACCCUUUAAGACCGUGGCUUUUAACACUAUAUAGAUCGGCGACUGAAAAUGGAAGGUGUUAUAACACAGUACAUGCACAAGCAAGAAAUUGUGUGGAGCGUUUAAAUGGAGUGUAUUUAGACUAAAAUCUAGAUUUAGCAAUUUAAAUUAAAGUUUGAUUUUAUUAAUAUAAUAAAUUCUAGUCUUUAAUCUAG
Lucilia cuprina (Australian sheep blowfly) is the source of this 889-nucleotide long non-coding RNA. RefSeq lists it as uncharacterized. The record is from RefSeq and is a predicted model, not a curated record. NCBI's taxonomy places the organism in Eukaryota, Metazoa, Arthropoda, Insecta, Diptera, Calliphoridae. The transcript has 5 exons.